RNAcentral lists this non-coding RNA (26 nucleotides) under Mus musculus (house mouse). Lineage: Eukaryota; Metazoa; Chordata; Mammalia; Rodentia; Muridae. The record is from RNAcentral.
GAGUGGUUUUGCGUUUAUCUGAUGCC